RNAcentral lists this long non-coding RNA (449 nucleotides) under Physcomitrium patens. RNAcentral's name for it is "long non-coding RNA (PPAT_LNC008597)". Lineage: Eukaryota; Viridiplantae; Streptophyta; Bryopsida; Funariales; Funariaceae. The record is from RNAcentral.
UAUUAAAAUAAAAACCUUAAUUAAAUCUUAAUUAUAACCUAAUCAAAUUCUAAUCAAAUCUUAAUCAAAUCCUAAAUAAUUUUUAGUCAAAUCUUAAAAAAUCCUAAUCAAAAUCUAAUCAAAUCCUAAAAAAAUCUUAACCAAAUUCUAAAUAAAUCGUAGUCAAAUCCUAACAAAUCCUAACCAAAUCUUAAACAAAUCCUAAACUAAUCCUAAACAAAUCUUAAUCAAGUCUUAAAUAAAUCGGAAUCAAAUCCUAACUAAAUCCUAACUAAACCUUAAAUAAAUCCUAAACAAACUUUAACCAAAUCCUAAUCAAACUCUAACAAAAUCCUAAAUAAUUCCAAGUAAUUUCUAUAGUAGAUUUAAACCUCAAUAACUAAUGAAUGAACCAUUGAUUUUAAGUCAAAUUUUGCAUACUUCUUUAUAAUAAAAUUAACAACAAGCAU